This 191-nucleotide unclassified non-coding RNA is filed under the name uncultured Saccharomycopsis. RNAcentral's name for it is "sequence contains ITS2". The record is from RNAcentral. Lineage: Eukaryota; Fungi; Ascomycota; Saccharomycetes; Ascoideales; Saccharomycopsidaceae.
UCACUCUUAAACCUCUAGGUUUAGUUAUGGAGGAAGUGGGAAUAUUCUUUCCACUCCUCUGAAAUGACUCGGCAGGUCCUUUAGUGGCUAUUUAUAGCUUUGGAGAAUUUAUUACUAGGUUUUACCAUUUUAAUAAAUACCUCUAAGCUAGGUUACUUUGGGUUAUCGGCCUAAUCAACUUUUAUCAUAAA